RNAcentral lists this ribosomal RNA (460 nucleotides) under uncultured bacterium. Its description in RNAcentral is "partial 16S ribosomal RNA". It matches the Rfam family "Bacterial small subunit ribosomal RNA", at positions 338 to 795 of the family's 1533-position model. The record is from RNAcentral.
CCUACGGGAGGCAGCAGUGAGGAAUAUUGGUCAAUGGACGAGAGUCUGAACCAGCCAAGUAGCGUGAAGGAUGACUGCCCUAUGGGUUGUAAACUUCUUUUAUAUGGGAAUAAAACGUUCCACGUGUGGGAUUUUGUAUGUACCAUAUGAAUAAGGAUCGGCUAACUCCGUGCCAGCAGCCGCGGUAAUACGGAGGAUCCGAGCGUUAUCCGGCUUUAUUGGGUUUAAAGGGAGCGUAGGUGGAUUGUUAAGUCAGUUGUGAAAGUUUGCGGCUCAACCGUAAGAUUGCGGUUGAAACUGGCAGUCUUGAGUACAGUAGAGGUGGGCGGAAUUCGUGGUGUAGCGGUGAAAUGCUUAGAUAUCACGAAGAACUCCGAUUGCGAAGGCAGUUCACUGGACUGCAACUGACACUGAGGCUCGAAAGUGUGGGUAUCAAACAGGAUUAGAUACCCGUGUAGUC